RNAcentral lists this ribosomal RNA (484 nucleotides) under uncultured bacterium. RNAcentral describes it as "bacterial SSU rRNA". It matches the Rfam family "Bacterial small subunit ribosomal RNA", at positions 8 to 479 of the family's 1533-position model. The record is from RNAcentral.
AGAGUUUGAUCCUGGCUCAGAACGAACGCUGGCGGCGUGCUUAACACAUGCAAGUCAAGGAGAAAGUCUCUUCGGGGAUGAUUAAACCGGCGCACGGGUGAGUAACACGUGAGUGACCUGCCUUUUAGACUGGAACAACUUACCGAAAGGUGAGCUAAUGCCGGAUGAGUUAUAUAAGUGCAUGUUUAUAUAGGAAAAGUUGGGGAGACCUGACGCUGAAAGAUGGACUCGCGUCCCAUUAGCUAGUUGGUAGGGUAAUGGCCUACCAAGGCGACGAUGGGUAGCCGGCCUGAGAGGGUGGCCGGCCACACUGGGACUGAGACACGGCCCAGACUCCUACGGGAGGCAGCAGUGGGGAAUUUUGCGCAAUGCUCGUAAGAGUGACGCAGCGACGCCGCGUGAAUGACGAAAGCCUUCGGGUCGUAAAGUUCUUUCGACAGGGAAGAAAAUGCCUAUAAGUAACUGUGUAUGUAUUGACGGUACC